AUUGAACGCUGGCGGCAGGCCUAACACAUGCAAGUCGAACGAGUGGCGGACGGAUGAGUAAUGUCUGGGAAACUGCCUGAUGGCGGGGGAUAACUACUGGAAACGGUAGCUAAUACCGCAUACCAUCAGAUGUGCCCAGAUGGGAUUAGCUAGUUGGUGGGGUAACGGCUCACCAUGGCGACGAUCCCUAGCUGGGCUGAGAGGAUGACCAGCAACACGGGAACUGAGACACGGUCCAGACUCCUACGGGAGGCAGCAGUGGGGAAUAUUGCAAAAUGGGCGCAAGCCUGAUGCAGCCAUGCCGCGUGUAGGAAGAAGGCCUUCGGGUUUUAAGGUACUUUCAGCGGGGAGGCGUUACCCGCAGAAGAAGCACCGGCUAACUCCGUGCCAGCAGCCGCGGUAAUAC
RNAcentral lists this ribosomal RNA (406 nucleotides) under uncultured bacterium. RNAcentral describes it as "partial 16S ribosomal RNA". It matches the Rfam family "Bacterial small subunit ribosomal RNA", at positions 30 to 526 of the family's 1533-position model. The record is from RNAcentral.